RNAcentral lists this non-coding RNA (114 nucleotides) under uncultured Ruminococcus sp. RNAcentral describes it as "FMN riboswitch (RFN element)". It matches the Rfam family "FMN riboswitch aptamer (RFN element)". Rfam says of the family: The RFN element is a highly conserved domain that is found frequently in the 5'-untranslated regions of prokaryotic mRNAs that encode for flavin mononucleotide (FMN) biosynthesis and transport proteins. This element is a metabolite-dependent riboswitch that directly binds FMN in the absence of proteins. Lineage: Bacteria; Bacillati; Bacillota; Clostridia; Eubacteriales; Oscillospiraceae. The record is from RNAcentral.
UUGUCUUCAGGGCAGGGUGAAAUUCCUGACCGGCAGUAAAGCCUGCGAGCCGUUUUAUGCGGUUGAUUCGGUGAGACUCCGAAGCCGACGGUAUAGUCCGGAUAAAAGAAGAUA